UAAAGAUUUAAAUAAAACUCUCCACAUUACAAAGCAGCGGUGGCAUGGAUCGCUAGACCAAUGUCGGUAGAAAAU
Aricia agestis (brown argus) is the source of this 75-nucleotide long non-coding RNA. RefSeq lists it as uncharacterized. The transcript is spliced from 3 exons. Lineage: Eukaryota; Metazoa; Arthropoda; Insecta; Lepidoptera; Lycaenidae. The record is from RefSeq and is a predicted model, not a curated record.